GCCGGGUGUGGUGGCGCAUGCCUGUAAUCCCAUCUACUUGGGAGGCUGAGGCAGGAGAAUUGCUUGAACCCGGGAGGUGGAGUUUGCAGUGAGCCGAGAUCGUCCCAUAUUCCAGCCUGGGUAACAGAGCGAGACUCUGUCUCAA
Gorilla gorilla gorilla (western lowland gorilla) is the source of this 145-nucleotide non-coding RNA. It matches the Rfam family "Metazoan signal recognition particle RNA". Rfam says of the family: The signal recognition particle (SRP) is a universally conserved ribonucleoprotein. The record is from Rfam. NCBI's taxonomy places the organism in Eukaryota, Metazoa, Chordata, Mammalia, Primates, Hominidae.